This 524-nucleotide ribosomal RNA is filed under the name uncultured bacterium. Its description in RNAcentral is "partial 16S ribosomal RNA". It matches the Rfam family "Bacterial small subunit ribosomal RNA", at positions 28 to 523 of the family's 1533-position model. The record is from RNAcentral.
GACGAACGCUGGCGGCGUGCCUAAUACAUGCAAGUCGAGCGCAGGAAACUGACGGAACUCUUCGGAGGGAAGGCAGUGGAAUGAGCGGCGGACGGGUGAGUAACACGUAAGGAACCUGCCUCAAGGAUUGGGAUAACUCCGAGAAAUCGGAGCUAAUACCGGAUAGUUCAACGGACCGCAUGGUCCGCUGAUGAAAGGCGCUCCGGCGUCACCUUGAGAUGGCCUUGCGGUGCAUUAGCUAGUUGGUGGGGUAACGGCCCACCAAGGCGACGAUGAAUAGCCGAGCUGAGAGGGUGAUCGGCCAGACUGGGACGGGGACACGGCCCAGACUCCUACGGGAGGCAGCAGUAGGGAAUCUUCCACAAUGGACGAAAGUCUGAUGGAGCAACGCCGCGUGAGUGAUGAAGGUUUGCGGAUCGUAAUACUCUGUUGUAAGGGAAGAACGCGUACGAGAGGAAAUGCUCGUACCUUGACGGUACCUUACGAGAAAGCCACGGCUAACUACGUGCCAGCAGCCGCGGUAA